Long non-coding RNA from Malaclemys terrapin pileata, 2357 nucleotides. RefSeq lists it as uncharacterized. The record is from RefSeq and is a predicted model, not a curated record. Lineage: Eukaryota; Metazoa; Chordata; Testudines; Emydidae. The transcript is spliced from 3 exons.
UCAAGUCCCAGGAGCAGGGACAUAAUGCAUAUGGGAUAUAAUGUCUGUUCAGAAUCUGAUUUAUUCCAAUAGAUCCUUUGAUUGACACUGCCCUUUGCAAGGAUGCACAUGCCAUCAAACUCAUAUUGGCAUGUUGGAGGGUCAUCAGCUCCUACGCCACCUGAUGCCCAAAUUACUCUUGGCAUGGAGAUCCAUGGCUUUCUACAGUGAGCACCAGCACCUUUGAGUAGCAAUGCUCAACGGGUUGCACCUAAAAGUCCCUGUCAGGAUGAGACCUCUACUGCGCUAGGUGCUGUACAAACACAGAACUAAAAGAUGGUCCCUAUCCCAAGCGUUUACAGUCUAAGUACAAUCGUCACACAAACAGCCAUAUUCAUAUGUGAAUAAGAGUACUCAUGGGGAAAUACAGUUUCCUCCAUUGUGAUUGCCAAGCACCCUGCAUCUGUGUGUGUAGGUUGGCAGGGGAUCUGCAUUGUAGAUAAAUGGAAUACACUUGCAUACCUUCCCUAUCUCUUCCCUGUCCCUCCACACUGAUAUGUGAGGUAGCUUCAGGAGCUCACUUUCACAGUGCAUGACUGUUGAAGAAUCCCUUCCAUUCCCUUUCCUAUAUCUUCAGCCUUUCUGCACACUAGCUCCACUGCCUUCCAGACCAUAGGAAGCCAUAAAUGGAUGGGGCUGCACAUUAUAAAUAUCUAGGAAAAAUGACAUUAACAGUUACAUUGUCCAUCUAAAUAUUAUGCUAUGGGAAUCAGAGAACCACUGCAGUGAGUACAGGACCUAUGAGCUUCUCUCUAUAGCACUGCUAUGGGUACCCGCAUGUCCCCACAGUAUGCCAACAUUUUUAUGGCUGACUUAGAACAACGCUUCCUCAGCUCUUGUCCCCUAACGCCCCUAUUCUACUUGUGCUACCUUGAUAACAUCUUCAUCAUCUGGACCCAUGGAAAAGAAGCCCUUGAGGAAUUCCACCAGGAUUUCAACAAUUUCCAUCCUACCAUCAACCUCAGCCUGGACCAGUCGACACAAGAGAUCCACUUCCUGGACACUACAGUGCAAAUAAGUGAUGGUGACAUAAACACCACCCUAUACCAGAAACCUACUGACUGCUAUACUUACCUACAUGCCUCCAGCUUUUAUCCAGACCACAUCACACGAUCCAUUGUCUACAGCCAAGCUCUAAGAUACAACCGCAUUUGCUCCAAUCCUUCAGACAGAGACAAACACCUAUAGGAUCUCUAUCAAGCAUUCUUACAACUACAAUACCCACCUGCUGAAGUGAAGAAACAGAUUGACAGAGCCAGACGAGUACCCAGAAGUCACCUACUACAGGACAGACCCAACAAAGAAAGUAACAGAACUCCACUAGCCGUCACCUUCAGCCCCCAACUAAGACCUUUCCAGCGCAUCAUCAAGGAUCACAACCUAUCCUGAAAGACGAUCCCUCACUCUCACAGACCUUGGGAGACAGGCCAGUCCUCUCUUACAGACAGCCCCCCAACCUGAAGCAAAUAUUAACCAGCAACCAUACACCACACAACAAAAACACUAACCCAGGAACCUAUCCUUGCAAUAAACCCUGUUGCCAACUCUGUCCACAUAUCUAUUCAAGGGACUCCAUCAUAGGACCUAAUCACAUCAGCCACACCGUCAGGGGCUCGUUCACCUGCACAUCUACCAAUGUGAUAUAUGCCAUCAUGUGCCAGCAAUUCCACUCUGCCAUGUACAUUGGCCAAACCAGACAGUCUCUACACAAAAGAAUAAACGGACACAAAUCAGACGUCAAGAAUUAUAACAUUCAAAAACCAGACGGAGAACACUUCAACCUCCCUGGACACUCUAUUACAGACCUACAAGUAGCAAUUCUUCAACCAAAAAAACUUCAAAAACAGACUCCAAUGAGAAACUGCAGAACUGGAAUUAAUUUGCAACCUGGACACCCUCAAAUUAGACCUGAAUAAAGACUGGGAAUGGAUGGGUCAUUACACAAACUAAAAACUAUUUCCCCAUGCUUAUUCUCCCCCCCCGUUACCCACACCUUCUUGUCAACUGUUUGAAAUGGGCCAUCCUGAUUACCACUACAAAAGUGAUUUUUCCUCCUGCUGAUAAUAGCCCACUUUAAUUGAUUUGUCUCGUUAGAGUUGGUGAGGCAACCCCCAUCUUUUCAUGUUCUCUGUGUGUAUAUACAUAAUCUUCCUACUGUAUUUUCCGCUCCAUGCAUCUGAUGAUGUGGGUUUUAGCCCAUGAAAGCUUAUGCCCAAAUAAAUUUGUUAGUCUCUAAGGUGCCACAAGUACUCCUGUUCUUUUCUCUAUAGCAUGGUCCGGAUUAGGCCAUCAAUGUCAUUUAUCUUCAUGUUAGCCAC